This 253-nucleotide ribosomal RNA is filed under the name uncultured bacterium. RNAcentral's name for it is "partial 16S ribosomal RNA". It matches the Rfam family "Bacterial small subunit ribosomal RNA", at positions 524 to 776 of the family's 1533-position model. The record is from RNAcentral.
UACGGAGGGUGCAAGCGUUAUCCGGAUUUACUGGGUUUAAAGGGUGCGUAGGUGGGUUAGUAAGUCAGUGGUGAAAUCUUCGAGCUUAACUCGGAAACUGCCGUUGAUACUAUUAAUCUUGAAUAUUCUGGAGGUGAGCGGAAUAUGUCAUGUAGCGGUGAAAUGCUUAGAUAUGACAUAGAACACCGAUUGCGAAGGCAGCUCACUACGGAAUUAUUGACACUGAGGCACGAAAGCGUGGGGAUCAAACAGG